AAGCUCGUAGUUGAAUUUCGGGAUCAAAUUGUCGGUCGUGCCUCGGUACGUACUGGCGUUAUUGGUUCCUCCCUUCUGAAGAGCCGCGAUGUCAUUAAUUUGGUGUCGCGGGGAAUCAGGACUGUUACUUUGAAAAAAUUAGAGUGUUUAAAGCAGGCUCGCGCUUGAAUACAUUAGCAUGGAAUAAUGAAAUAGGACGUUUGAUUCUAUUUUGUUGGUUUCUAGGAUCGACGUAAUGAUUAAUAGGGAUAGUUGGGGGCAUUAGUAUUCAAUUGUCAGAGGUGAAAUUCUUGGAUUUAUUGAAGACUAACUACUGCGUAAGCAUUUGCCAAGGAUGUUUUCAUUAAUCAAGAACGAAAGUUAGGGGAUCGAAGACGAUCAGAUACCGUCGUAGUCUUAACCAUAAACUAUGCCGACUAGGGAUCGGAUGAUGUUAAUUUUUUAAUGACUCAUUCGGCGCCUUACGGGAAACCAAAGUGUUUGGGUUCCGGGGGGAGUAUGGUCGCAAGGCUGAAACUUAAAGGAAUUGACGGAAGGGCACCACCAGGGGUGGAGCCUGCGGCUUAAUUUGACUCCACACGGGGAAACNNACCA
This 594-nucleotide ribosomal RNA is filed under the name uncultured Glomus. RNAcentral's name for it is "SSU rRNA". It matches the Rfam family "Eukaryotic small subunit ribosomal RNA", at positions 624 to 1220 of the family's 1831-position model. Lineage: Eukaryota; Fungi; Glomeromycota; Glomeromycetes; Glomerales; Glomeraceae. The record is from RNAcentral.